Molecule: ribosomal RNA, 537 nt
Filed under: Triticum aestivum (bread wheat)
Lineage: Eukaryota; Viridiplantae; Streptophyta; Magnoliopsida; Poales; Poaceae
Description: partial small subunit ribosomal RNA
Source: RNAcentral
AUGGACGGCCAUGUCGGAGAUCAGCCUUACGAGUUCUUCAUCAGGCUGUACAAGCACGUGUGCGGCCAUCUCCGCCUCCCUACCCCGUUUGCUCGGGUGAUGGAGCAGGAUCCGACGCAGGCUUUGAGGCUACACAUGAGGGGCUGCCGGAACAGCAGCAUGUGGGUCAAUGUCGACUUCCCCCGCCCUCACGUCAUGUAUCUUCGUCAUGGGUGGAAAACCUUUCCACGCGCCCACAACUUGUCGGAGGGGCAUGUUCUCCAUUUCAAGUUAAUGGAGAAUGGCUUGCUCUCUGUCAAGGUCUUCGGGAGCUCAGGAAUCCACUUAGGGUGCCGCAUGGAGAGUUCCACCGACGACCAAAGCUCCUCCUCGAGCGACCCUGACAAGGAGGACAGCGCCAGUGACGAUGACGGCAGCGGGCUGGAGGACGAUGACUCCGACUCCAACUUGCCAUCAGUUGUAGCACCAUCAUUUGCUCUACCUCCUCCCCCGGCAACAGGCCUUGAUGGGGGUUGCGUCCUGCUGGCUCUGGUGUAG